CGGGGUGUAGCUCAGUUUGGUGGAGCGCUUGCUUCGGGAGCAAGAGGUCGCAAGUUCAAAUCUUGUCACUCCGACCA
Molecule: transfer RNA, 77 nt
Filed under: Clostridiaceae bacterium
Lineage: Bacteria; Bacillati; Bacillota; Clostridia; Eubacteriales; Clostridiaceae
Description: tRNA-Pro
Rfam family: tRNA
About the family: Transfer RNA (tRNA) molecules are approximately 80 nucleotides in length. Their secondary structure includes four short double-helical elements and three loops (D, anti-codon, and T loops). Further hydrogen bonds mediate the characteristic L-shaped molecular structure. tRNAs have two regions of fundamental functional importance: the anti-codon, which is responsible for specific mRNA codon recognition, and the 3' end, to which the tRNAs corresponding amino acid is attached (by aminoacyl-tRNA synthetases). tRNAs cope with the degeneracy of the genetic code in two manners: having more than one tRNA (with a specific anti-codon) for a particular amino acid; and 'wobble' base-pairing, i.e. permitting non-standard base-pairing at the 3rd anti-codon position.
Source: RNAcentral